UACGUAGGGUGCAAGCGUUGUCCGGAAUUAUUGGGCGUAAAGAGCUCGUAGGCGGUUUGUCGCGUCUGCUGUGAAAACUCGGGGCUUAACCCCGGGCCUGCAGUGGGUACGGGCAGACUAGAGUGCGGUAGGGGAGACUGGAAUUCCUGGUGUAGCGGUGAAAUGCGCAGAUAUCAGGAGGAACACCGGUGGCGAAGGCGGGUCUCUGGGCAAUAACUGACGCUGAGGAGCGAAAGCGUGGGGAGCGAACAGG
Molecule: ribosomal RNA, 253 nt
Filed under: uncultured bacterium
Lineage: Bacteria
Description: partial 16S ribosomal RNA
Rfam family: Bacterial small subunit ribosomal RNA
Source: RNAcentral